Pelecanus crispus (Dalmatian pelican) is the source of this 370-nucleotide non-coding RNA. Lineage: Eukaryota; Metazoa; Chordata; Aves; Pelecaniformes; Pelecanidae. The record is from RefSeq and is a predicted model, not a curated record.
AAGCUACAAAGUCAAGCAGAAGAAAAUAAAAGAAGAAACAAACAAAAGGCACAAAAAUCAAAUGAACAAGAGGAAAAUCCAUUUGAGACAGAACCACCACAGCCAAAGCAAAAAGGAGGCAAACAAGAGGAAUCCACUGCAAAUGAAGACAAGAAGAAAGGACAGGGUGGCAAUGAAAUGAAGACGACAGGCCAGCCACAAGAAACCAGCUCCUCUCAGGCACUCCAGCAUCCAGGCCCUGCCCCAAAUGGCCACUAUCCCCCACAGAGCAGAGGAGGAAACCUUCCUCCCCCGUCCAUAGCUGUGACGAGGCCACCGGGGCCCAGGGGGUAUGGAGUGCCGGGCUAUCCACCUGGAAACCCACGCUUCC